This 253-nucleotide unclassified non-coding RNA is filed under the name uncultured Planctomycetota bacterium. RNAcentral describes it as "uncultured planctomycete contains 16S-23S intergenic spacer region". It matches the Rfam family "Bacterial small subunit ribosomal RNA", at positions 524 to 776 of the family's 1533-position model. Lineage: Bacteria; Pseudomonadati; Planctomycetota. The record is from RNAcentral.
UACGUAGGUCGCAAACGUUGUUCGGAUUUACUGGGCUUAAAGGGCGCGUAGGCGGCUUCGUAAGUCAUGGUUGAAAUCCGGCGGCUCACCCGCCGAACUGGCCAUGAUACUGCGGAGCUAGAGUCAUGGAGGGGUGCGCGGAACUUGUGGUGGAGCGGUGAAAUGCUCAGAUAUUACAGGGAACACCGGAGGCGAAGGCGGCGCACUGGCCGUGUACUGACACUGAGGCGCGAAAGCGUGGGUAGCGAACGGG